RNAcentral lists this unclassified non-coding RNA (231 nucleotides) under Cistella albidolutea. RNAcentral describes it as "partial internal transcribed spacer region". The stretch from base 1 to 46 matches the Rfam family "Eukaryotic small subunit ribosomal RNA", at positions 1786 to 1831 of the family's 1831-position model. The record is from RNAcentral. Lineage: Eukaryota; Fungi; Ascomycota; Leotiomycetes; Helotiales. RNAcentral also lists the same sequence under 2 other names.
AAGUCGUAACAAGGUUUCCGUAGGUGAACCUGCGGAAGGAUCAUUACUGAGUUCAUGCCCUAACGGGUAGAUCUCCACCCUUGAAUACAAACUCUUGUUGCUUUGGCGGGCCGCUUCGGCUACUGGCUUCGGCUGGUGAGUGCCCGCCAGAGAACCCUAAACUUUGAAUUACAGUGUCGUCUGAGUACUAUAUAAUAGUUAAAACUUUCAACAACGGAUCUCUUGGUUCUG